This 700-nucleotide ribosomal RNA is filed under the name Saccharopolyspora sp. KLBMP S0011. Its description in RNAcentral is "bacterial SSU rRNA". It matches the Rfam family "Bacterial small subunit ribosomal RNA", at positions 88 to 799 of the family's 1533-position model. Lineage: Bacteria; Bacillati; Actinomycetota; Actinomycetes; Pseudonocardiales; Pseudonocardiaceae. The record is from RNAcentral.
UGGAUUAGUGGCGAACGGGUGAGUAACACGUGGGUAAUCUGCCCUGCACUCUGGGAUAAGCCUUGGAAACGAGGUCUAAUACCGGAUAUGACACACGGAGGCAUCUCCUGUGUGUGGAAAGUUCCGGCGGUGCAGGAUGAACCCGCGGCCUAUCAGCUUGUUGGUGGGGUAGUGGCCUACCAAGGCGACGACGGGUAGCCGGCCUGAGAGGGUGACCGGCCACACUGGGACUGAGACACGGCCCAGACUCCUACGGGAGGCAGCAGUGGGGAAUCUUGCGCAAUGGGCGAAAGCCUGACGCAGCAACGCCGCGUGGGGGAUGACGGCCUUCGGGUUGUAAACCUCUUUCGACAGGGACGAAGCUUUCGGGUGACGGUACCUGUAGAAGAAGCACCGGCUAACUACGUGCCAGCAGCCGCGGUAAUACGUAGGGUGCGAGCGUUGUCCGGAUUUAUUGGGCGUAAAGAGCUCGUAGGCGGUUUGUCGCGUCGGCCGUGAAAACCUGCAGCUUAACUGUGGGCGUGCGGUCGAUACGGGCAGACUUGAGUUCGGCAGGGGAGACUGGAAUUCCUGGUGUAGCGGUGAAAUGCGCAGAUAUCAGGAGGAACACCGGUGGCGAAGGCGGGUCUCUGGGCCGAUACUGACGCUGAGGAGCGAAAGCAUGGGGAGCGAACAGGAUUAGAUACCCUGGUAGUCCAUG